Felis catus (domestic cat) is the source of this 6746-nucleotide long non-coding RNA. RefSeq lists it as uncharacterized. The record is from RefSeq and is a predicted model, not a curated record. NCBI's taxonomy places the organism in Eukaryota, Metazoa, Chordata, Mammalia, Carnivora, Felidae. The transcript is spliced from 7 exons.
CCCCGGCCAGCUGCGCUCUGUCUUGGGGGUGAGCCGGCAGCCAUUCCCCCCAUGAGCCCAGGUCCCCGCUUCAGUGCCUUUAGUUAAAUCAGGGUGUGUGCACUAGGGUCGAGCAGGCUCUUUUCCCCAGUUGCGGUCGCGCCCUUGCUCCAGGAUGAGGCACGGAACGACCCACGCCUGCGGUCCUGCCCCGGGAUCCUGAAGGGCGGCAAACACGGUUGGCCCCGCAGGCGCUCACCCCGCCCUCCCCUCUGGCUGUUCCCUAUCUGGAGUGACUUAGAGGAGAGAAGCAGUGUGGUGCAGUGGGCCAUCUGACUUCAUGGAUCAGACAAAGGGAAUCGUUGCCUUCUACAUCCGGAUGUUGGCCCCUAAACGGCACACCUCUGCAUGUUCAACAGCAGUGGCAGCAGCUUCAGCAAACAUCAGCAUCACAGUUGCCAUUCAGCAGAUUGGAAAUUACCAGAGUCAUAUCUAAUAACUGCAGUGAGAUAAACCAGCAUAUGACAAUAGACACUCAGGAAGUUGAGGCCAGAAGGAAUAAAAUGUUCCCUAGACACUUUAAUCCUGGUUGUGUUUUCUGCCUUGACAAAAUUGCUGAAAUGGAAGAAAUUGAAACUCAGAAUUCUGCACCCAGAGCUAUAUAGCUGGUAAAUGGCAGUGCCUGGAUUAAAAUAACUAAUCAUCAGGAUCAUGAUCAUUAAGAUUGAUGACAUUUAUGUGUACAUACUGAUGAUCACAACUGGGAUGAUGGCCUUCCAUAUGUUAUUUAUUCCAACAACAACUUCUUGAGUUAGUCACAUCAUGCCCAUUCUACAUAUGAAGAAAGUAAAUUUUGAAGGUUAAAGGGCUCCAUCAAAGUUGUAUGAUGGGCAUGCAGCAGCUCUGGAAUUUUAACUAGGAUAUGAAGGAUUAUUCUGCCCUCACCCAUUCUACCAAGACUCUGAAAACAGAUUUCUCAUGUCCUGCCCUAUGCCUGCCUCAACUGACAUGUUUCAAUCAAGCAUGUGAGAGGGUAAGUUCCAUUUCCCACUCUUGCCCCCAAGGGUCUGACUAAUGCUGCUCUCUUCAAAGAACUGCUAACAUCUCUAGUUUAAGCAAUGUGCAAAAUAACUGAUGCAAAUAAAAUCUCUUUCCCCAAGGCCUCUCUUAUGCAUGGUUCAUUUUCUGGACUAACAAGACCAAGAGGUGGCCCUGCAGGGUGAACCCAUGACAUGUUGGUAACUUCAGUGCCUCAGUGGAGCCAUGAGCAAGAUUUAAUGGAAAACAGGCACAUUUUAUGCCAACAGGGAACUGAAGCUGUCUGUCAACAGUCAUGUGAAUGAGCUGUUUUGGAAGUCCAGCCCUACUUGACAUCCUGACUGCAACCUCAGGAGAGAUUCUGAGACAGCCACCCAGCUGUUCUUUCUCAGAUCACUUACACUGGGCCAGCUGCCAUGCUAUUCUAUGGGAAGGAUCACGUGAAAAAGAAGUGAGGCUUCUGGCUAACAGAUAAAUGAGUGAUAAAUGAACUUGGAAGUGAAUCCACCAGCCCCAGUCAAACCUUCAAAUGACCGCAGGUCUGGCCAACAUCUUGAUUAUAAACCACGUAAGUGUCCCUGUACCAGAAUCAUUUCAUUAAGCUGCUGCCAAAUUCCUGACCCACAGACACUGAGAUAAUAAAUGCUUGUUGUUUUAAGACAUUAAAUUUUCAGGUAAUUUGUUACGCAACAAUCGAUAACAAAUGCAAGCAGAUAUAAUGAAAUGAGAAAUUCCAGGAUAAUUAAGGAGGCAUUGUUCAAAAGAUUGCUAGAAUAGCUGAAUUCCUAGGUUCACAUGGUAUCUAAUUUACUACUUAUGUCUAUCUCCUUUCUGCUGGCUGGAUUCAAUGCCAGCACCAGGGAAGCAGUUGGUUGCAUAUGUCUGCCUCCCCUAGGGAACUCACAGGCAGAGCAGCUGUUCAUGCUGCACUCUACUAAAGCAGUCUACCCUGACAUUGGAUAUGCUGGACCCUCAGGCACUACUACAUGCCUGGAGGCCUAUAGAGCUUGUGGUAUACAAGGAACUCGUCAAACAUUAUGAUGAACAAAGAUGUUAUUCCAUGUUUUUGCAAGACUAAGGGCAUUGAGAUUUGCCCAGGAUAUGGAAGACUCAAUGGCAGUAGACUGCUUUGUGAACUGAGGCCUAUCUCAGAAGAUAGAGUGGAGGUAUGAUCAUAUUUAUGCCUUGAAGAUAUCGACUGAUCACACUGGCUGCAUUCUCUAUCCCCUACACCCCAUUUCUUUCCAUCUUUCACCAAAUAGUCCAGAAAACAGACUCCCUCAAAUACUGUUUUUGCAGAUUAAAUUGUCAUUACCUUUAGAUGAGCCAUUACCCAAUUUGCCAAUGACUUUGUCUCAGUUCUCUUUCACCUUGAGUUGUGUGAAGAAUUAAGCCCUGGUGAAUGAACUGGUUCACUUUCCUAUACCACAUGAUCAAAUUCCUCAUCUUUGUUGAUUUCUGAUGCAUUCUCCCAGCAAGUUCUUGUCUUGUUUUCUUUGUAUUCUCCAUCUUCAACUCUUUAAGUACAAUAAUUAUAAUGAUAGUAAAAUUUAUGACUAAUGUUUUUGGUAUUUUGAAUUAAUAAGAGUGUUCAAAUACAGCUUUAUUUAGAAUGGGAAAAUAGACUAUUGGACAGUCUGGCAAUACAGACUUGAGACUCACCUUCAUAGACGAUAUUUGAAGAUGGUUGCAUAUAAGAUCACGGGGAACAAGGACAGAAAGAAAAAGAGGCACAGAGAAUUAGACUUAGUACACCUUUUCAGGGAGUUGAAGAAAAAGUUAGAAAAAAAAUAAGAUUCAUUUAAGCCACAUAUUAUUACUUAAUAUCUGUCCUUUACCAGGGCAACUAAAAAGGAAUUAUAAUAAUUGAAACUGAUUUUCAGUUGUACUUAUUUCUUUUUACCUUUCUAAUAAGGAAACUAAGUUGCUAAGUAUUGACAGAGAAAAGAUCAUUAGAGAUCUGUGUAACAUAUUUGCUGGGCAAUUGGUCAUUGGAAAAAAGUCAGUUUAUUGUUUUUGUUUAUUUUAUUUAAAUCCAAGUUAAUUAACAUAUAGUGUGAUAAUGGUUUCAGGAGCAGAAUUUAGUAACUCUUCACUUAGAUAUAACACCCAGUGCCAGUUUAUUGUUAAUCAAGCAGUAAUUUGAAUGCUUUAUUAGGUGAGUAGGCGUUCGAUAUCACUGUUAAAAGUUAACUGCUAUUGUUCAAAGAUGGAAUAAUCUCUGAUAAAAUUAAAAAUUUAAGUUUCCUUAUAUAGAGAAAAACACAAGUGAUUCCUAUUCCUCAGGAAAUCUAUCUGCUGUGAAAGCAUAAUUUCAACAUUCAAGAAGAGAAAAGCUAGUCUUAAAUUCCUUUCAGAUCAAAUUAAAUCAGCAGAUGGGUUGUAUUAUGAAAUGAAAAGAAGGCAAAAAUAACUUGUCAAAUGUGUUGUUCAUGAAAAUGGUUUAGAAAAAUUAAUAUAAAUGAAAUUUUUACAUAAAUUCAUUUCAUAAGUUUUAUGGGCAGAGGACAAGGUUUUUGGUGGAAGAAAUAUUAAGAAAAAUUCAAAAUGAAGAAAAAUAUUUAAAAUAUUUUUGUUUAUUCUAAUGGAGCAAAUGCAUGUGAGGAGUUUAAAUUACUGUAAAAGUCUAUGAAGUUAACAGUGAUUUGGAAGCCGUGAUAGGUAGAAUAAUAGCUUCCCCCACAAAUAUGCCCAAUGCCUUAGUUCUUGGAACCUGUGAAUAUGUUACCUUACAUGGCAAAAGAGACCUUGUAGAUGUGGUUAAAGAAACAGACCUUCAAAUGGGGCGAUUAUCCUGGAUCACUUGUGUGUACUCAGUCUAAAGAGAUGAGUCCAUAAAAGUAGAGAGACUUUCCUGGCUGGGUCAAAGAGAAAAGAAAGAUAAAGAGGAGAGAUUUGAAGCUAGGGAAGGACCUGACCCCCCCAUUGCCAGUUUUGAAGAGCCAAGAAAUGCAAUAGCCUUGAGAAGCUAGAGACAGUCCUCAGCUGACAGCCAGUCAACAUUGGUCCUACAACUAUAGGGAACUGAAUUCUGCUAACAACCUGAAUGAGCAAGGACAUGGAUCCUGCCCUCAAGACUCCAGAAAGGAACAUAGCUUUGACUUUAGGCUGGUGAGACCCAUGUUAGACUUCUGACCUAUAGAGCUGUAAGAUAGUACAUUUGUGUUGUGUUAAGCCACUAAAUGUGUAGCAAUUUGUUAGAGAAGCAAUGGAAAAGUAACACAACAAUUUUAUUGAAAAUAUAAAUAACUAUUAAAUGGCCUUCAGUAAAUAUCCCAGUCUAGGCAAGUAUGUACUAAAGCCCUCUAUAUACCUUUUAGUGGAGCUGACUUUUAGCUUCCAAUUAAAAACAAAAUCUAAUCCAAUUCCUAAAGUGCCUAUCAUUGUUUUGAAUUAUAGUUUAACUAAAGAAGAUAACACUGAAAUCAUGUUUUCAGUUGUUAUUACAAAUAAUUAACAAUAACGACUCAGGUUUAUUCUCUAGCUUUCUCAUACCUACCAAAAUUUAUUUGUGAAAGGAAAAAUUCACCCCGUAAGAAUUUCUGUAAAAUGAUGACAUAGAUGGACACUGUGUUAUAGAUGGACAACCAACUAAGUUGGUUAUAUAUGCAUAUCUAAUGGUUUUCUUGGCUAUGCUAAGAAGGCUGACACAUAAGGUCACUAUAUAUUCCCUUCCACUAGAGAAUAGAAAUUCAGCUUAACUCAAUAAUUUGUUAAUGCCUGCAGUAUGGCAUUGCAGAAUGAGCAUGGUUCUGGGAAUCAGAAAUCACUGGUUGAAUCCCAUAUUCACCAGAUAUUGUGUCAGACAAGUCAGUGAAUCUCUCUGAAUGACAGUUUCCUAAUUUAUGAUAUGGGAAUAACAUCUACCUUACAAGUUUAUUCUUGAAAUAGAAUGAAAUUUCUCUUUAAAUAAUAUACUGUCAUCAUAAUGUAUAGUAUUAUCUACAAACACUGAGUGUGAAUGUGUUAUUUUGGGACUUACCACCAGGCACUAGAGAAAAUGGUACCAAAAAUAUAGAAAAUAAAACUUGAGUGGAGUUAGGGAGGGAAGCAAGGUGGAGGUGGUAGGAAUGUUUCCCAUCAAACUGGAAAACUGACCAGAGCAGCAGAAGGGAUGCUGGCAGCCCAGGUGAUUGAGAUCAAAAUAAAGAAGGGAUCCCAAAUUCUACCCAACUGGCACCAAAUUUCCUGAGAUAUCUAGAAGAGAGGGACUCCUGAUUUGAGUCCUUUGGGCAGUGCUGGUUUUUAGGGUCAGCUUGGGAAGCUUCUGGCAAGGGCUUACUCAGACUCCAACGUGUCUAAAUUCAACUUCGAGGACAAGGACUCCUGAUGUACCACCUGGUCUGGAUCUUAUUGAUUCCAGGGAUGGGUAGAGCUGAGCAUCUUGGGAGCAGUUGUCAUCAGAGCCUCAGAGGCAGGACUGAGGGGAUAGAUGGGAUUUGAACUGAGGGAAACACAACUGAAGCCUGGACCUCUGUGUAUCAAUUGGAUCAUAUUAAUAGCCAUUACUUGAUAUUUCUUUACCUGUGACCUCACCUAAAUAAUGCAGUUACCUUUCUGCAGCUUUAACUCUUUAGGUUAGUUUUAACUUUAAGGUUGAAUAAAUAGAUCUAUUUUUUUUUUUUUAAGAAAUAGAUCUAAUUUAAGCAAAAAGAGGGAUUUUGUUUGCAGAAACUGAAAUGGUACACAAAACCUCAGGAUGAGAUAACAGGGACUCAGAAUAUAUGUCUAACAAAAGAAGUGAGGGGAUAAAGGUAUCUGCUUUAGACUUUUGGGUGGUUUUUUAUUUCUGUUUUCUCUGCACACCUAAUUCCAUCACUUCUCUAUUCUGGCAGAAAAAUUUGGUUUCUAACAACUUUUGAGUUUUAUGUAAAAUAUACUCAGCCACCCAGAAAGUCUCCUAUUACCAGUUCAAAAAUCCCUGGGGCAAGAGCUGCCAAUAGCCAAAGCUAUAAUAAUUUGAGCAACCAAAAAUAUAGCGUUGACUUGUAGCUCAAAGUAUAAAAUAAAUACCCAUGAAUUCACACUAAUAUAAAUAAAUGAUGAAAGAAAGAGAAAGAAAUAGAGACAGAUCUCCUCUAUAGAAAAAUUUCAAAUGAUUUAUGUAGAUAAAAGAGUUAAAGAGUUAAAGAGAUAAAAGAGUUAAAGAGUCAGUCAGAGAUGAAGAGUGCAAUAUACACUCUUGAUGCAAUGAACAGCAUGUUAGAAGAAGCAGAGGGAUGAAUUAAUGACAAAGUAAUGAUAAAAUAAAGACAAACUAAUGGCAAGCAAUGAAGCUGAACAAAAGAGAGAAAGAAAUAUGCUAAAUGAGAAUAGACUUAGGGAACUCAGUGACUCCAUCAAACAUAAUAGCAUUACACUAUAGGAGUCCCACAAGAUGAAGAGAGAUAAUGGGGAGAAAAUAAUUUAUUUGAAGAAAUAAUAGCCGAAAAUUUCUGUAAUCUAGGGAAGGAAAGACAUCCAGAUCCAGGAAGCACAGAGAACUCCCAUAAAAAUCAACAAAAGCAGCCCAACACCAAGAGAUACAGUAAUUAAAUUUGCAAAAUAUAGUGAUAAAGAAAAAUCUUAAAAGCAGCAAGACAAAAGAAGUCAUUAACUUACAAAAGAAAUCCCAUAAGGCCAGCUAGAGAUUUUUCAACAGAAUGUGGCAAGCCAGGCGGGAGUGGCAUGAUAUAUUCAAAGAGCUGAAUGGGAAAAAUCUGCAGCCAAGAAUACUCUACCCAGCAAGG